Molecule: ribosomal RNA, 274 nt
Filed under: uncultured bacterium
Lineage: Bacteria
Description: partial 16S ribosomal RNA
Rfam family: Bacterial small subunit ribosomal RNA
Source: RNAcentral
AUACGGAGGGUGCAAGCGUUACUCGGAAUCACUGGGCGUAAAGCGCGCGCAGGCGGUCUUUUAAGUUGGAUGUGAAAGCCUACGGCUCAACCGUAGAACUGCAUCCAAAACUAUUAGACUAGAGUGUGGGAGAGGAAGAUGGAAUUAGUUGUGUAGGGGUAAAAUCCGUAGAGAUAACUAGGAAUACCAAAAGCGAAGGCAAUCUUCUGGAACACUACUGACGCUGAGGCGUGAAAGCGUGGGGAGCAAACAGGAUUAGAAACCCUAGUAGUCC